UACGGAGGGUGCAAGCGUUGUCCGGAUUUAUUGGGUUUAAAGGGUGCGUAGGUGGGCAAGUAAGUCAGUGGUGAAAUCUCCGGGCUUAACCCGGAAACUGCCAUUGAUACUAUUUGUCUUGAAUACUGUGGAGGUCAGCGGAAUAUGUCAUGUAGCGGUGAAAUGCUUAGAUAUGACAUAGAACACCAAUUGCGAAGGCAGCUGGCUACACAAAUAUUGACACUGAGGCACGAAAGCGUGGGGAUCAAACAGG
This 253-nucleotide ribosomal RNA is filed under the name uncultured bacterium. Its description in RNAcentral is "partial 16S ribosomal RNA". It matches the Rfam family "Bacterial small subunit ribosomal RNA", at positions 524 to 776 of the family's 1533-position model. The record is from RNAcentral.